This 252-nucleotide ribosomal RNA is filed under the name uncultured bacterium. RNAcentral's name for it is "partial 16S ribosomal RNA". It matches the Rfam family "Bacterial small subunit ribosomal RNA", at positions 524 to 776 of the family's 1533-position model. The record is from RNAcentral.
UACGAAGGGGGCUAGCGUUGCUCGGAAUUACUGGGCGUAAAGCGCACGUAGGCGGCUUUCUAAGUCGGGGGUGAAAUCCUGGAGCUCAACUCCAGAACUGCCUUCGAUACUGGAGAGCUUGAGUCCGGGAGAGGUGAGUGGAACUGCGAGUGUAGAGGUGAAAUUCGUAGAUAUUCGCAAGAACACCAGUGGCGAGGCGGCGAUCUGGGAAGAUACUGACGCUGAGGUGCGAAAGCGUGGGGAGCAAACAGG